RNAcentral lists this ribosomal RNA (791 nucleotides) under Salmonella enterica. RNAcentral describes it as "partial 23S ribosomal RNA". It matches the Rfam family "Bacterial large subunit ribosomal RNA", at positions 756 to 1547 of the family's 2925-position model. Lineage: Bacteria; Pseudomonadati; Pseudomonadota; Gammaproteobacteria; Enterobacterales; Enterobacteriaceae. The record is from RNAcentral. RNAcentral also lists the same sequence under 1 other name.
GUAACACUAACUGGAGGACCGAACCGACUAAUGUUGAAAAAUUAGCGGAUGACCUGUGGCUGGGGGUGAAAGGCCAAUCAAACCGGGAGAUAGCUGGUUCUCCCCGAAAGCUAUUUAGGUAGCGCCUCGUGAAUUCAUCUCCGGGGGUAGAGCACUGUUUCGGCUAGGGGGCCAUCCCGGCUUACCAACCCGAUGCAAACUGCGAAUACCGGAGAAUGUUAUCACGGGAGACACACGGCGGGUGCUAACGUCCGUCGUGAAGAGGGAAACAACCCAGACCGCCAGCUAAGGUCCCAAAGUCAUGGUUAAGUGGGAAACGAUGUGGGAAGGCCCAGACAGCCAGGAUGUUGGCUUAGAAGCAGCCAUCAUUUAAAGAAAGCGUAAUAGCUCACUGGUCGAGUCGGCCUGCGCGGAAGAUGUAACGGGGCUAAACCAUGCACCGAAGCUGCGGCAGCGACACUCAGGUGUUGUUGGGUAGGGGAGCGUUCUGUAAGCCUGCGAAGGUGGCCUGUGAGGGUUGCUGGAGGUAUCAGAAGUGCGAAUGCUGACAUAAGUAACGAUAAAGCGGGUGAAAAGCCCGCUCGCCGGAAGACCAAGGGUUCCUGUCCAACGUUAAUCGGGGCAGGGUGAGUCGACCCCUAAGGCGAGGCCGAAAGGCGUAGUCGAUGGGAAACGGGUUAAUAUUCCCGUACUUGGUGUUACUGCGAAGGGGGGACGGAGAAGGCUAUGUUGGCCGGGCGACGGUUGUCCCGGUUUAAGCGUGUAGGUGUGUGUUCCAGGUAAAUCCGGUU